CUUAAAGUGGGUCUAGCAAGGGAUAGUGACAUGCCUUUGCAAUUGCAAAAAAUUACUGAUGUAAAUGUAAUUGAAGGAAAAUAUAGGGAUGGUAGGCAGCUGUGAGUUAAAGUAAUUCACAUUGAACUGUUGAAAAGUAGUACUGGAUUGCCCUAUUAAAAUGUGCCUGUUCUACUCUAAGUAACAUUUCUUUGACCUAAUAUGCAUUGAGAAAGUGGUCAUUCUUUUCCUCAUUUUUAUUCUACUAGCACUUAUGUUUUUAAUAGUAACUAUUUUGGUCUCUAUUCAGUUGUGGUUGUACAACUACUUGCCUUUUCAUAUUGUAAUUUAGAUCUUUUAUUAAGGGAAAGCAAAUCGAGAAAGAAGCCUCAUGGAAGGGAUGAAAUUGACAUGAUAUUUCAAAUUCACUGUAUGGAAAAAGAGGCUUACGGUUCUGUUUUGAGAGCUUUCUUUGCUCAAUCUGACCGUCUUUCAUGGGGUAAGGAGAGGCUCAUUACAGAGCUGCGGCAAGAGCUUAAUGUUACUGAUGUAGAACAUGGGGAGCUGCUUUGGAAAAUUAUUUCUGAUGAGUCAUUUAAAAUGAUAAGGGAAUGGCGAAAAAGUGCCCCUUAUGUUCAAGAUUCACUUGCUGGUGAAUUGAACGCUUCCAGAUCUGCUCCUAGUCCAAUGGGCCAUGCCUCAGAGAAAAAAAGGAAGACUUCUCAUGCUUCUGAUUCAAUAUUCCAUAAGCAGGAGCCUCAUGGUCAGGCUUCUUUAGGAUUUCUUCCUUUUCCAACUCCAGCACCAUCAGAUGACAAAGGAAGGGGAAUAGUGAAAUCUAAAACAAAGAUAGGUUAUCAUGGGCCAUACUUUGAGCAUUUAAAGGAGGGAGCUGAUGUUAUUCAGAUCCGUGAAACAAAAAGGCUUCUUCAUGAGAGCAAUAAAAGGAUGUGGCUUACUUUCUCCAAUUAUUUCACGCCAACAUUAUUAUUCCAAGUCUUAAAUGUGGUUUCAGCACUGCUGCAAUAUCCUAUGGUGCCACCAACUUUGCUUUCAAUACACGCAACAGUGACUUCCAUUGGAUGUUUUGAAUUGCACAACUCUUUUUUGGAGACCUGUAUUUAUUGGAGGAAAAGAAAGGAGCAGAGAUGAAAAAACCAUGAAAUGCUACAGUUUAAACCUUUUGCUAUAGCUGAGGAGGCUUGUUUUCUGUUUAUAUAUUUUUGGAGCUGGAUAUGGGGCAGGGAGGAGGAGUUUAAAUUUUAAGCUUCAGAAACUGUUAAUUAUCAUUUGGUGGAGGUUUGAAAAGGUUUGUGAUAACAAGACGUCUUGGUAUACUUAAUUGGUGAUGAUGAGAUCAAUGAUGAGAGUUUAGUAUUUCAUGGCAUAAUUGGGGAUUCUUAUAUUUGUUUUCAAUGUCAGGUGGACCUUAAACUUUUUAGGCAAUUAUCUGAGAACAGGGUUUCAAGGAGGCUGAAUUUUGAAGUCAAUAGUAUUGCUUUGCUUUUGUUACUUCCAUUAAAAUUGUUAUUCUUUUCAUUUGGAUUUCUUGCAGGUCCAUUGACUGGUGAUUUUGCUGACCAUUAUUGAAAAGAUGAUCUAUGGAAGAAAAGGCACUGACCAAGUACAAGUUGAGAUGGCGAAACUAAUCCUAAGUGAUCAUGAAAGAUCUCUCCUCUUGGCACUUGCUAAACUUUCUCAUGUGUCAAAUGAUGAUGAUUCCCGUGGAGAGGUUCGUGAAAAUAAACGACAAAUAGUGACACAUAGCAGGUUCCAUCUGCAGGCUGGCGGGUUAGAUAGCUAUCCUCCUGAGAGUUAUCCCCCAAAGAAAAGCUGUACUCUGAAGAGUUAUGAUCCAACCCAUCCAGUCAAGCUGAAAGUCCCCCGCCCAUGAUGCUCUGUAUA
Theobroma cacao (cacao) is the source of this 1884-nucleotide non-coding RNA. The record is from RefSeq and is a predicted model, not a curated record. Lineage: Eukaryota; Viridiplantae; Streptophyta; Magnoliopsida; Malvales; Malvaceae.